CGCGGGGUGGAGCAGUGGCCGCUCGUCGGGCUCAUAACCCGGAGGUCGGCGGUUCGAAUCCGUCCCCCGCUA
RNAcentral lists this transfer RNA (72 nucleotides) under Anaerolineae bacterium. RNAcentral describes it as "tRNA-Met". It matches the Rfam family "tRNA". Rfam says of the family: Transfer RNA (tRNA) molecules are approximately 80 nucleotides in length. Their secondary structure includes four short double-helical elements and three loops (D, anti-codon, and T loops). Lineage: Bacteria; Bacillati; Chloroflexota; Anaerolineae. The record is from RNAcentral.